This 495-nucleotide ribosomal RNA is filed under the name uncultured bacterium. Its description in RNAcentral is "partial 16S ribosomal RNA". It matches the Rfam family "Bacterial small subunit ribosomal RNA", at positions 28 to 507 of the family's 1533-position model. The record is from RNAcentral.
GACGAACGCUGGCGGCGUGCCUAAUACAUGCAAGUAGAACGCUGAAGGAGGAGCUUGCUCUUCUGGAUGAGUUGCGAACGGGUGAGUAACGCGUAGGUAACCUGCCUGUUAGCGGGGGAUAACUAUUGGAAACGAUAGCUAAUGCCGCAUAAGAGUAGAUGUUGCAUGACAUUUACUUAAAAGGUGCAAUUGCAUCACUACCAGAUGGACCUGCGUUGUAUUAGCUAGUUGGUGUGGUAAUGGCUUACCAAGGCGACGAUACAUAGCCGACCGGAGAGGGUGGUCGGCCACCCUGGGACUGAGACACGGCCCAGACUCCUACGGGAGGCAGCAGUAGGGAAUCUUCGGCAAUGGACGGAAGUCUGACCGAGCAACGCCGCGUGAGUGAAGAAGGUUUGCGGAUCGUAAAGCUCUGUUGUAAGAGAAGAACGAGUGUGAGAGUGGAAAGUUCACACUGUGACGGUAUCUUACCAGAAAGGGACGGCUAACUACGUG